This 1400-nucleotide ribosomal RNA is filed under the name Lactiplantibacillus plantarum. RNAcentral describes it as "bacterial SSU rRNA". It matches the Rfam family "Bacterial small subunit ribosomal RNA", at positions 70 to 1437 of the family's 1533-position model. The record is from RNAcentral. RNAcentral also lists the same sequence under 1 other name. Lineage: Bacteria; Bacillati; Bacillota; Bacilli; Lactobacillales; Lactobacillaceae.
CUCUGGUAUUGAUUGGUGCUUGCAUCAUGAUUUACAUUUGAGUGAGUGGCGAACUGGUGAGUAACACGUGGGAAACCUGCCCAGAAGCGGGGGAUAACACCUGGAAACAGAUGCUAAUACCGCAUAACAACUUGGACCGCAUGGUCCGAGCUUGAAAGAUGGCUUCGGCUAUCACUUUUGGAUGGUCCCGCGGCGUAUUAGCUAGAUGGUGGGGUAACGGCUCACCAUGGCAAUGAUACGUAGCCGACCUGAGAGGGUAAUCGGCCACAUUGGGACUGAGACACGGCCCAAACUCCUACGGGAGGCAGCAGUAGGGAAUCUUCCACAAUGGACGAAAGUCUGAUGGAGCAACGCCGCGUGAGUGAAGAAGGGUUUCGGCUCGUAAAACUCUGUUGUUAAAGAAGAACAUAUCUGAGAGUAACUGUUCAGGUAUUGACGGUAUUUAACCAGAAAGCCACGGCUAACUACGUGCCAGCAGCCGCGGUAAUACGUAGGUGGCAAGCGUUGUCCGGAUUUAUUGGGCGUAAAGCGAGCGCAGGCGGUUUUUUAAGUCUGAUGUGAAAGCCUUCGGCUCAACCGAAGAAGUGCAUCGGAAACUGGGAAACUUGAGUGCAGAAGAGGACAGUGGAACUCCAUGUGUAGCGGUGAAAUGCGUAGAUAUAUGGAAGAACACCAGUGGCGAAGGCGGCUGUCUGGUCUGUAACUGACGCUGAGGCUCGAAAGUAUGGGUAGCAAACAGGAUUAGAUACCCUGGUAGUCCAUACCGUAAACGAUGAAUGCUAAGUGUUGGAGGGUUUCCGCCCUUCAGUGCUGCAGCUAACGCAUUAAGCAUUCCGCCUGGGGAGUACGGCCGCAAGGCUGAAACUCAAAGGAAUUGACGGGGGCCCGCACAAGCGGUGGAGCAUGUGGUUUAAUUCGAAGCUACGCGAAGAACCUUACCAGGUCUUGACAUACUAUGCAAAUCUAAGAGAUUAGACGUUCCCUUCGGGGACAUGGAUACAGGUGGUGCAUGGUUGUCGUCAGCUCGUGUCGUGAGAUGUUGGGUUAAGUCCCGCAACGAGCGCAACCCUUAUUAUCAGUUGCCAGCAUUAAGUUGGGCACUCUGGUGAGACUGCCGGUGACAAACCGGAGGAAGGUGGGGAUGACGUCAAAUCAUCAUGCCCCUUAUGACCUGGGCUACACACGUGCUACAAUGGAUGGUACAACGAGUUGCGAACUCGCGAGAGUAAGCUAAUCUCUUAAAGCCAUUCUCAGUUCGGAUUGUAGGCUGCAACUCGCCUACAUGAAGUCGGAAUCGCUAGUAAUCGCGGAUCAGCAUGCCGCGGUGAAUACGUUCCCGGGCCUUGUACACACCGCCCGUCACACCAUGAGAGUUUGUAACACCCAAAGUCGGUGGGGUA